RNAcentral lists this long non-coding RNA (4398 nucleotides) under Capsicum annuum. Its description in RNAcentral is "long non-coding RNA (CANN_LNC012351)". Lineage: Eukaryota; Viridiplantae; Streptophyta; Magnoliopsida; Solanales; Solanaceae. The record is from RNAcentral.
UUAGGAUGAAAGUGAAAUUUUUUGUCAUCUUUCUGGGUAUUUAGCAGCCUACUUUGGUACUCCAUUCUAAUUGCAAAUAGAAAAGGUGACAUAGGGUCACUUUGUCUUAAACCUUUAGCCGCAAGGAAUUGGAUAGUUGUUUCUCUAUUUAUCAUGGUGCUUUAGCUCACAGUUCUUACACACUCCAUAAUCCACGUCACAAAAAUAGCAGGGAAACCAAGCUCAGUCAACAUUUUCUCCAAAAAUACCCACUCCAAGGAGUCAUAGGCUUUCUGGAGGUUUAUUUAUCAUACACCGUGGAGAUAGAUAUUUCCUAUUGUAGCCCUGAACUAGAUCCUGAGCUACGAUAAUGUUGUCACCAAUCUUUCUCCCUGGAAUAAAAUCUGAUUGUGCAUUACAAAUCAAAUCAGGCAUCACUUUCUGCAUUCUAUUAGCAAGGAUUUUAGAGAUGAUCUUUUAUAGGACUCUACAACAGGUAAUGGGCAUGUACUCCUUAAUAAAAGAAGGUUGCGCAGUCUUUGGAACCAGAGGAAUGGAAGUGCAAUUGAUAGGUCGGUACAAUUUUCUUGUGGAAAAGAAUGAUAGCACUGCUUCUAUGAUUUCUUGCUUAAUGAUAUUCCAGGUUUUCUUGAAGAAGGCGGCAUUGUAACCAUCUAUCCCUGGAGCUUUAUCUUCUCGUGUAGCUGCAAGACUCUCAGAUAUCUCAACUACACAGACUGAUUCACAUAGCAUUAAUUUUUUAUGGUGGUUUAGUAUAGGACCUUUGUGUAUGACCUCAAUAUUUCCCGUAGGCAGCCUUGUAGUCGAAGUAACCAUGAGUCCUUUGUAGAAAGUAAUGACCUUCCUUUCUAUCUCCUCAUGAUUUGUCAGAUGAUGUCCAUCCAGUGAACAAAGGGAAGUAAUAUAUCUCUUUUGACUCCUCUCUUUUAUUACAGCUGAAAAAUACUUUGUAUUGGAGUCCCCUAAUUUGACCCACUUGGCUCUGGAUUUCUGCUUCAGAGCACUUUCCUCUACUAGGUACCAUUUUUCCUAUCUUUGGAUAGUGUCUUUCUCUUAGUCUUGCAAUUCAGUAGUCCAUUGAUAUCUCAUCUGCAUUUGAAUGUCAACCAACAUAGCUCUGGAAUCCUCAACUUUCUGCACAACAUAUUUAAAUUCGUCAUUGUUCAGUUUACUCAAGUUGAGCUUAAGUACUUCUAAAUUAAGCCACACAUUUUUCAUUGCUCCACCAGCCAUUCUAUAUGACCAUUGUUUUGUAACAAUUGCAUUGAAGUUUCUAUGUUCAACCUAGAUACUGAAGAAUCUAAAAGGUUCUUUACCACUUCCUCAUUCCUUGUCCAGAGUUAGUACCAUAGGAGAAUGAUCAGAGACACUAGGUAAGUCAUAUUAUAGCACUACAUGUCCCGAACUCAUCAUUUAUUCAUGAUUUUUGAAAGCUCUAUCCAACCUACUACAUACUCCAUGAUUUCCAGAUUGUUUAUUUGUCCAGGAACAGUAAUCUUCUCUCUAGCUUAGUUUAUUUAUAUGUAAGUCCUGGGCACAAUUAGUAAAGUCUUUAAUUUCAGCAUACUGGGCUGGAUUAUUACUUAAUCUAUCUGUGGUAGCAGUAAAGCAUUGAAGUCACCACAUAUCAGCCAAGGUUAUUUGAUUCUACUAAAAAUAUCUCUCAAAUAAUACCUCAAUGCUUUUCUUUGUUCUACAGUAGUGUAACCAUAAAUAAUAGUUAGAUAACACUCAAUUGCAUCAGGUUUUCUAACCUUACAGUGGAUGAGUUGAUCUCUAGCUCUAAUCAACUUCACUGUAUACCAUUCCAAGUCCCAAAUCAGCCAAAUUCUGCCAUUACUUGCAGCAUUAUAAUUAUUGAUAGCACCCCAGCCAGACAUCAUGCUCUUCAGUACUCUAGCUGCGUUAUUUUGUUUGACCCUAGUCUCUAUCAAACCAGCAAGAGUGAUAUGUUUAUUUUGGAUGAUCUUUCUAAUCUUUUUCUGCUUAUAGCGCUUAUUUAUACCUCUAACAUUCCAACAUAACCAAUUUAUAUAGUAGGUGGGUUACCGUUAUCAGGAGGCACUUCUUUCCCCUUAUAUACAGGUCUUUGCGCUCCCCUAUCCUUACUCUUCAUAGAAGCCUCAUUUAGAGUAGGAAAAUCUGCAUAAUCCAAGUGUGUAUCAUUGUCUACUCUUUCCAGAUUUGUAUUUGGUGUAGUGAGUUCUUGCGUCCUCACUAGGCAUUUUUGAGUGCCAAUACAUAUUUCCCCAGGGGUUGAAUUCUGGACAGGAGCUGUGAAAUCCUCCUACUUUUAUUGUUCUUAUUGUCCUGGGUAAUCUUCUGAUGGGUCCCUUAUACACCCAAGCUUGCACAAGCUUGGGACCUGGUACACCUUCCUUUUUCUUUGGCAUCUCCUGUUGAACUGGUGCAGGAAGGCAUUUGUGCCCAAUUACUUGGCAUUUCUCACAAUAACGUAGCCUCUAAUUGUACACUACAGGUUGAGAAAGCACCCUACCAUUAGGAUCAGCUAUUGUUAUAGUAUCAUGUAUCUCUUUAGUUACAUUCACCUCUAUAAGCAAACAAGCAUAGAAAAUCCGUAUUUUCUUUGCAGUACAUUCAUCUGCGUAGAUAGGUUUGCCAAUUAUACUAGAAAUACGACUGAGGGAAUUGGCACCCCAGUAGUUCAUGGGAAGAUUUGGAAGCUUAACCCACAAAGGGAUCUCAGUUGGGAAUUCCCCAUUAAAAUAAAAAUCUGGUGUCCAAGGUUUCAAAAUUAGAGGCCAGUAGUUGAGCAUAUAAGGUCCCGCACAGAGAAUAGCUCGCAUAUCUUUAAGGGAUUAAAAUCAUACAAUGAAGUAACCCUCUUCAUGGAGAUAAAUGGUAGGCUCAGCUAUAGAAUUCCAUUGUUGUUCAAUGAAUCGCUUCAUUACAUUAAACCCAGGACAUUCUCCCAAUGUAUACACAAUUAGAGCUCAUCGCCAUUUCUCUAUUUCCUUAUCAAUCUCGUCCUUCUCCAACUGAACCACAACCUCUCCUUUAACGACUUGUGGAGGUAUAUAUGAUAGUGCUAGCCAAUUCUCUGUUGAUCUACUCUUUUUAAACAAAUUAACCCAAGGUUCUGCUGGACUUGCUCCACACUUAUCCUCUUCCUUCACCUCAUUCUCAUGAUGAAGUAUAGAUACAGUAGGGUUAGGGUUGUCUACCGGGGUUAUGAAUCCAGCACUACUCAAUAAACUCUUACCCUGUGAUUGGGUGCUAGAUGACGAUCCAAUUUCAUUUACCCCACGAAGAAUUGAUCCUAUUUGGGUAAGGUUCUGCUUAUCUCCUUCGUGUGUUUCCUUGUCCUCAGAAGCCGGAGGUACUUCCAAGGGGAUUUUCCGAGGUCUUCCACGCCCUCAUUCAACGUCACCUCAUCCUUGUCCACGCCCUCGACCUCUCCCCCUCCCUCUAGCCAUGGUAGUCUCAUCAACAGCAGUUAGCUACCGUACGCUCUCUAGCCAUGGUUUCCUUGUAAGAAUUCUUUCCUAAAAUUUAGGACAUUAGGAACUUCAAAGUUUCUUUUGUUUUGCCGUAUAGUUGAGUGCUAAUUUGUUGCAGUGUCGUUUCAAGUUUUCAAAAUUUAUUAGGAGUUUUUGUGUUAAAUUUUCUAACAUUAGGAAUUCAAAAUAAUAUAACUUUUUAAUAUAUUAAACAUAUUUGCUUUGUCUUUUACCAUUUUAUAUAAUUUUAUAUAUGACUCAUGAAUAUAUCUUAAAAUGAAUAUGAAAUAAAAAUAAAUAUUUCAAACACUAUUGUUAUGAUUUAUAUAAAUACAAUGAAAUCAACAUGAAAUAUUAAUAGAAUUUUUUAAUGUUUUGAGAAUAAUAUACAUUAUGAUACAAGUCAUAUAUAUUAGAUAAAACAAUAGUAGUAAGUUUUAAUAUUAAUUGUACCUUAAUUUUGAACUUGUUUUAAAAUAGUUGAUGUUUAUUGUGGGAAGAAAUUGAGCUAGAUACAUGUGGCACUGGUAUGAAGGCUAACAGAAGGUCUUAUUGCAGUAAGGAACGUUGAGCCUCGAAGGGACUCCCCUUGAAAUGGCAAUAAUACAGGCGUCGUUUCGUGCAAGAUAAGGAUCAGGAAAUCGUCACCACAAUGACAUGGCUACAACGAUAUAUAUAUAGGGGACCUGUCAGAUUGCUUAGGUAUGCGAAUAAGCCUAUACGAAGCUGAGCAGUGAAAGAAUAUUAGUUGUCUUCUCCUCCAAUAGAUGAGACAUAUGGCGCAAGGACAUAGGCAUUAGUAUUUUAGGGCUCUAGUGACAUAUCCUAAUUGUCAGCGGCUAACAUUGUAGCCUAUAAAUAGUCGACCUUCCUCAUUUGUAAAGGAUCCCCCUUCUAUUAACUCAAUCAAUAUAAUAGUUUUCUUGGUCUUCAGUGU